GGCUGGCCAGAGUGCAAGAGUGUAACAGUGUUUACAAUUCAUUGAUCACAGCCAGGUACAGAUUUCUUUGUUCCUUCCCCACCCCCACUGCUUCACUUAACUAAUCAAGA
RNAcentral lists this non-coding RNA (110 nucleotides) under Tursiops truncatus (common bottlenose dolphin). The record is from RNAcentral. Lineage: Eukaryota; Metazoa; Chordata; Mammalia; Artiodactyla; Delphinidae.